This 253-nucleotide ribosomal RNA is filed under the name uncultured bacterium. Its description in RNAcentral is "partial 16S ribosomal RNA". It matches the Rfam family "Bacterial small subunit ribosomal RNA", at positions 524 to 776 of the family's 1533-position model. The record is from RNAcentral.
UACAGAGGGUGCAAGCGUUGUUCGGAAUUAUUGGGCGUAAAGAGCUCGUAGGCGGCUUGUCACGUCGGAUGUGAAAGCCCGGGGCUUAACCCCGGGUCUGCAUUCGAUACGGGCUAGCUAGAGUGUGGUAGGGGAGAUCGGAAUUCCUGGUGUAGCGGUGAAAUGCGCAGAUAUCAGGAGGAACACCGGUGGCGAAGGCGGAUCUCUGGGCCAUUACUGACGCUGAGGAGCGAAAGCGUGGGGAGCGAACAGG